Molecule: regulatory RNA element, 168 nt
Rfam family: M-box riboswitch aptamer (ykoK leader)
About the family: M-box riboswitch, also know as ykoK leader is described as a metaloregulatory RNA that sense divalent metals and function as a genetic control element of genes related to divalent metal transport in bacteria. It was first reported upstream of the B.subtilis ykoK gene and genes with related functions in other bacteria.
Source: Rfam
UAGUUUCUUCGUUAGGUGAGGCUUCUACAUAGACAUAUGCCACUGCCCGGACUGUCGAGAGACUCUAACGGGCCAACAGGUUCUACCGGCUUAAGGUUUUACCUAAUGUGGCUGGGUUAAUUAACCCUAGCUAUGUAUGUGCUAAAGCUUGUACGAGUGAAGAAGGUA